ACCCACAGAGUCAUAUGAUGUCUCUGAUUUGGGAAUUCACACUUUAUGCCCUGUGGCCUUCGCCCGGGGUAUAACCCACAUUUUGCGCACUGACAUCUGUCCCUGGCGGGCGGGCAGCGCAAGCUGCUUGUCAACCAUGAUUCUUCAUGGGUGUGGACAACCCGUCAACCACUUCUUUACUUAUGUUUUUCUUACAUUGUCUGACAUUAUUUGUACAAAAACACAAAACAACUUUUGGCAACGGAUCUCUUGGCUCUCGCAACGAUGAAGAACGCAGCGAAAUGCGAUAAGUAGUGUGAAUUGCAGAAUUCAGUGAAUCAUCGAAUCUUUGAACGCACAUUGCGCUUCGUGGUAUUCCGCGGAGCAUGCUCGUUUCAGAAUCAUUAAAAAACUCACAGCCUGUGGAAUGUUGUCGGGUUUUUACUCCUUGUGGGUAUAGCCUGCGGCAUUACCACCGGCCUGUAGGAUAUGGGCACUUUGGAUAUCAUAGCCAAUUGCCUUAAAGUUAGUGAGUGCGUGACUUUUUGUUAAUUUGCCGACCCUCAGUGCAACAGCCUUAGACUCACUCCUGGGCACAAAUUGGGAGUCACCACCUGUAAAGAACACAGAGCUGUUGAGCAGCAAUGCUCUCCAGCUCUGACAACUUGGUCUGAAAUCGAGCAAGAAAACCCGCUGAACUUAAGCAUAUC
This 689-nucleotide ribosomal RNA is filed under the name uncultured fungus. RNAcentral's name for it is "eukaryotic LSU rRNA". The stretch from base 230 to 383 matches the Rfam family "5.8S ribosomal RNA". Lineage: Eukaryota; Fungi. The record is from RNAcentral.